This 72-nucleotide transfer RNA is filed under the name Camelus bactrianus (Bactrian camel). It matches the Rfam family "tRNA". From Rfam's summary of the family: Transfer RNA (tRNA) molecules are approximately 80 nucleotides in length. Their secondary structure includes four short double-helical elements and three loops (D, anti-codon, and T loops). RNAcentral also lists the same sequence under 2 other names. Lineage: Eukaryota; Metazoa; Chordata; Mammalia; Artiodactyla; Camelidae. The record is from Rfam by way of RNAcentral.
GAGGGUAUAGCUUAGUGGUAGAGUGCAUGCCUAGCAUGCACAAGGUCCUGGGUUCAAUCCCCAGUGCCUCCA